RNAcentral lists this long non-coding RNA (401 nucleotides) under Homo sapiens (human). RNAcentral describes it as "HSALNT0262168". The record is from RNAcentral. Lineage: Eukaryota; Metazoa; Chordata; Mammalia; Primates; Hominidae.
UUGGUGGAGACCAGGGAGACGGCAAAUCCCAGAGAGAAGAGACCCCAGAGCCAUCGAAAGGCAGCACUCACCUGGAGUCCGAAGUAGAGACAAAGAUGAGGGGAAGAAAGAAACCAAGAGAGGCAGCUCUGAGCGGGGCAGAGAGAGGCCCCAGAAGCCAGGAGCGGCAGAGGACAGAGGGAGGAGACCGAGUCCAGGGUAUGGGAGAAGGGCCCGGUCCGGGCUGUGCGGGUCCCAGCUGGAGGUGGGGCCUCACCUGUGUGCCCGUCUGGCCUGCAUGGGCCAGGGCAGUUCCCGGGAAGGGUGAGGGUCCUGCAGCUCUGUCUGGGUGACUUCUGUGAAGGCCUUUCUGCUCCUUCCUCCAUCCUCCUCCUCCUCCUCCAGCGCCCCCCAAGGCAGCA